AGAGUUUGAUCCUGGCUCAGGACGAACGCUGGCGGCGUGCUUAACACAUGCAAGUCGAGCGAUGAAGCACCUUCGGGUGUGAAUUAGCGGCGAACGGGUGAGGAACACGUGAAGAAUCUGCCUUCAACUCUGGGAUAACUCCGGGAAACCGGGGCUAAUACCGGAUAUGAGCCUUGAUCGCAUGAUCGGGGCUGGAAAGUUUUUCGGUUGAAGAUGACUUCGCGGCCUAUCAGCUUGUUGGUGAGGUAAUGGCUCACCAAGGCGACGACGGGUAGCCGGCCUGAGAGGGCGACCGGCCACACUGGGACUGAGACACGGCCCAGACUCCUACGGGAGGCAGCAGUGGGGAAUAUUGGGCAAUGGAGGAAACUCUGACCCAGCGACGCCGCGUGAGAGAUGAAGGCCUUCGGGUUGUAAACCUCUUUCAGUAGGGAAGAAGCGAAAGUGACGGUACCUACAGAAGAAGCACCGGCUAACUAUGUGCCAGCAGCCGCGGUAAUACAUAGGGUGCAAGCGUUGUCCGGAAUUAUUGGGCGUAAAGAGCUCGUAGGUGGUUCGAUACGUCGGAUGUGAAAAUCAGGGGCUCAACCCCUGACCUGCAUCCGAUACGGUCGAGCUAGAGUUUGGUAGGGGAGACUGGAAUUCCUGGUGUAGCGGUGGAAUGCGCAGAUAUCAGGAGGAACACCGAUGGCGAAGGCAGGUCUCUGGGCCAAUACUGACACUGAGGAGCGAAAGCGUGGGGAGCGAACAGGAUUAGAUACCCUGGUAGUCCACGCCGUAAACGGUGGGCGCUAGUUGUG
Molecule: ribosomal RNA, 800 nt
Filed under: uncultured bacterium
Lineage: Bacteria
Description: bacterial SSU rRNA
Rfam family: Bacterial small subunit ribosomal RNA
Source: RNAcentral